This 457-nucleotide ribosomal RNA is filed under the name uncultured Acidimicrobiales bacterium. RNAcentral's name for it is "bacterial SSU rRNA". It matches the Rfam family "Bacterial small subunit ribosomal RNA", at positions 923 to 1378 of the family's 1533-position model. The record is from RNAcentral. Lineage: Bacteria; Bacillati; Actinomycetota; Acidimicrobiia; Acidimicrobiales.
GCACAAGCGGCGGAGCAUGCGGCUUAAUUCGAUGCAACCCGAAGAACCUUACCUGGGCUUGACAUCAUGGGAAAAGCCGUAGAGAUACGGUGUGCAUUAGCGUCCAUGACAGGUGGUGCAUGGCUGUCGUCAGCUCGUGUCGUGAGAUGUUGGGUUAAGUCCCGCAACGAGCGCAACCCUUGUCCUAUGUUGCCAGCGGUUCGGCCGGGGACUCAUAGGAGACUGCCGGGGACAACUCGGAGGAAGGUGAGGACGACGUCAAGUCAUCAUGCCCCUUAUGUCCAGGGCUGCACGCAUGCUACAAUGGCCGGUACAACGGGCUGCGAUCCCGCGAGGGUGAGCGAAUCCCUUAAAGCCGGCCUCAGUUCGGAUUGGAGUCUGCAACUCGACUCCAUGAAGUCGGAGUCGCUAGUAAUCGCGGAUCAGCAAAGCCGCGGUGAAUGCGUUCUCGGGGAUU